Molecule: long non-coding RNA, 572 nt
Filed under: Anas platyrhynchos platyrhynchos (common mallard)
Lineage: Eukaryota; Metazoa; Chordata; Aves; Anseriformes; Anatidae
Description: lncRNA (ENSAPLG00000024842.1)
Source: RNAcentral
CGCCGUGCCGCCUCCGCUGCACGCUGCUUGAGCCGAAGCCCUCUGCUCCCUGCCUCCCGAGGAGCCCAACCGCAGCGCUAAUAGGAUUUUGGCUGGCACAGGUGUUGAUGAGCCGUGUGCUCCUCUCACACCAGCUUUCGUUGACAAGGCUACGCUGGUAAAACUUCCUAAUUUAAGCCAGAGCUGAGAAACAUCAUCAUUUUACCCUCCCGACUGUAGCGAAUGACAACUGGGAGCCUCCUGUCAGGAAGAAGCCUGAUGAUGUGUGUCAAACAGGAAGGAGGGCUAGAGCAUCAUAGUAGCCCAUCUGGCAUUACGAACCACAAUUUGGAAUUAUUCUUUUGUAAUGAACAAGAUUCUCUGGGAAGAAGCAGAAUGAAGAUUUGCCAUUGGAAUUAGAAGUUAUGUUGCUGGAAGACUGACAGUGAAAAGGUGAAGCAAAGCACUAUUUAUAGGCAGAGACGCUAUCUUUCAUUCAAUCCACUGAUACAGUUUGAUCAGCUUUCACUAGCUUGCCUGGAGUUUCUUCCAGCUAUAUGCAUUCACCUAAUAAAAUAUUUUAUUUCCUGACA